Molecule: ribosomal RNA, 292 nt
Filed under: uncultured bacterium
Lineage: Bacteria
Description: partial 16S ribosomal RNA
Rfam family: Bacterial small subunit ribosomal RNA
Source: RNAcentral
UACCCUGGUAGUCCAUGCCGUAAACGGUGGGCGCUAGGUGUAGGGGACUUCCACGUCUUCUGUGCCGCAGCUAACGCAUUAAGCGCCCCGCCUGGGGAGUACGGCCGCAAGGCUAAAACUCAAAGGAAUUGACGGGGGCCCGCACAAGCGGCGGAGCAUGUGGAUUAAUUCGAUGCAACGCGAAGAACCUUACCUGGGCUUGACAUACACCAGAUCGCUGCAGAGAUGUAGCUUCCCUUGUGGCUGGUGUACAGGUGGUGCAUGGUUGUCGUCAGCUCGUGUCGUGAGAUGU